CUAAUUAAGAAAUGAGAUCAUAUUUUAGUCUCGUUCACAGGGAAAGAAUAAAAUUCGGGCUCAAACGACCCAUUUUUAGGCCUAAUUUUCGGAUCUAGCCCAUAAUCCCUAGGCCCAUAUCCCUUAACCUAAAUAUAACCCUAAAACCCUAAGCCUAUAAAAAGGAGCUAGACCCCUAGACCUAAAAGGGGACUAUCAGCGAAAUAUACACAAAGUAUAAACCUAGACUAGAAAAGCUGACAGUGGCAGACAUAGCUGACAGUCGCAGACAUAGAGGAGACCCCCCUUGAUUUCUCAUCUCCUUCGAACCACCCCACCUCCGAACGACCCUGAGCCUCUUCUUCUUCAUUGAACCUAAACGCCAACAGAAACACACCUCUCACCAGACCUAUCGACGAGCCUACCCGCCUCACUGGACGUCGGCGACCACCCUAGAACGAGGACCCAAAGAUCUUCUUCUCCAUUUUUAAGCAACAGAACUUGGACCUCUCAAUCUUCAAGCAACGGAUCCUUCAGCAGCAAAGAACGAAAACAGAACCCAUGAUCCCCUCACUCAAACGCAUCCGGCAACACACACACAAAAGUUUAGGAUUCCUCUGAAAAAAUCGGAUUUGGAAUUCAAAGCUACAAAGAAAAAUCGCACAACUCCGGAAGAUCUGAAAACCAGGAAAAGGUUUCUGAAAAUCUGGAUUUCCAAAGGGGUUCUUGAGGUCAAGAUUUGUUGCCUUAUUGGUUUUUCCGGUCCCGUAUGAUUUCAGUUGAUUUCCGGUUCAAGGUCAGAUUAGUUCUCUCGAUGAAUUGAAUUAUUACGAUAUUGCAUCUUAUGCACUUUCUGUUCUUUUCUUUAAAGUUAGAUUCAAUAAAAUAUGAUUUUAAAUUGUGUUCUUGUCUGGUAAUUGCAUUAUUUUUGUACUAUUCUCUUCCGAAUUGCAGAUUGUUUGAAAGUAACUUCUUGAUUUCUUUUCUUAACUCAUUCUGAUUUUUGUUUGUUUGUUUGUUUCAAUUUUUAUUUUUAGUAUUGGUAACAAUAAAGAAUGUUGUCUUUCGUUUUGUGUGGCUUUUGUUGCAUAGAGAAUUUCUUUUGUGGUUACAAGGACAUAUGAUGGGUGAAAAGUUUGGGUAAUUGGCUAAUUGCAAUGAACUUAUGAUUCUUGAACGUAUGGUUGGUAUUAACUUGAGUAGAGAUUUAAUAACCAUUAAACACUUAGUAUACUUUUAGGCUACUAUCGUGGUUGUGGACACGUUCGCGUGACAUGAUUAUGAUUUCUAAAAAUAAAACCGGAGUAUGUGGUCGCACAACUUUGGCUAAAACUUUCUUAAUAAUAAUCAAGCGUUAUUAAUUAUGGACACAUUCGCGUGACAUGAUUUUUGACGUGCCAAAUAAAUGGGUACAUGUACGCGUGACCUGUUUUAAGAUAAUUUUCUUGAUUAAAAAGCGGUAAAAGGUAAAUGCACAUAGGUUCUAAAAUCAAUAAUCAAACAAUUUAAUAAGCCAAGUAUGAUCAAAGAGACUGUGCUAGAACCACGGAACUCGGGAAUGCCUAACACUUUCUCCCAGGAACAGAAUUUCUUAUAUGGAUUUCUGUGUUUACAGACCGUAAAUAGAGUCGAUUUCCUCGAUUCGGGAUUUAAACCGGUGACUUGGGAAACCAUAAACUAUCCCAAGUGGCGACUCUGAUUUUAAUUAAAUAAUCUCGUUUCGAUUGUCACUUAAAUUGGAAAAACUCCCUUAUACCCUUUCGGGGGUUGUAAAAGGAGGUGUGACAGCUCUGGCGACUCUGCUAGGGAUAAGAACCUAGAACUUCUAGUUCAGGGUUCAAGAAUUCGAGAUUGUUUUAUGAUUUUUACUUGGCUUUAUUUAUUGUUCAUAUUACUGUAUUCUGUAAACCUUUUGUGCUAAAUGAUAUCUAUUUACCGCUUUAAUAUUAUUUGAAUUAUAUAUAAUUGUCUUCUUAUGCCACCCCUCUGAGUCUUCUGAAAAUAGUGCACACGUUCGCGUAGCCCGCUUUUUUUGUAGAAAUCAUACCAAAUAGAACGAGGCUGGGCCAGCAACAAGGCCGGGUAGACUUUAGUGCUCCCGGUACGUUGCCCCACUUCGGCCCCAGUUGUCCGCUCCGGUAACCCAAGUCAGAACAAAUAAACCCCAGGAUUUAAACCUAGAAAAACAUAGCCUCAUGUCGGAUCCCUAGUAGGAACGUUUGUUUGCAUCAUGUACAUUUGACUUGGAGGACUCAACACAGGGGUUGUGUCCGUCUAGGACAGGUGUACCCCAAAAAUAAAAGACCAUCCUGAUGCAUCACUGUGCUAUAUGUUGCAUUUGUUCAAGGGUAAAAGGGUCAUUUGGCGGACCAAUUAUAGUUGAGGGCAAAGAAAAAAAAGAAAAAAAGAAAAAAAAAGGGAAAAGAAAAAGAGGGUGAAGUAUGAAAAUAAAGCAAGUAGAGCCCAAUUUGUUUUCUGUCACAAUUUUUUAAGAAAGAAAACAUGGAAAUAUUCAAAAAAGGAUUUUGCACUUUUCAUCAUUUUCCAGAAAUCAAAAAAAUCCAAAAAGAGUUUACACGUUUCAUCAUUUUUCAAAAAAAAAAAGACAAAAAACAUAUUUGCUCUAAAUUAGUUAUUUUUUUUCAAUUCUCGCCCGUAUCCAAUCUGCCCGAACUACGCAAACCUGAUUCUUGUCUUUCGGGGCGUGAUACGUAGACAACUCACAUAGGGUCCUGUCUUCCUAGUGAGUUUAGGUUCUUGGCUUCGCGGGGUCUUAGCCAAAUCUUGUAUUUUUAGCCACUUUUUGCCACAUAGGUUAAUUUUAGAAAAAUAGUCACAAUCAUGUCUUGCAUGUGUCCAACAAGAAGGGUUGUUGUCUCACAUAGUGUUCUAGGUCUUUAACUUUAUUUGGUCUUAAUUUUCUCAUACAGGUGUGAGUCUACUUACCGGAGUUUGAGCAUGAAAGACACCUUGGGACCAUCUAGUCAGGAUCGCUCCGUCAGGAGUUGCUUAAGAAGAUAUUUUUUUUAAAAUUUAUUUUUUGUGUUUUGAGACUGUUUUUUUAUGUCGUCUUUUACCUUCUAGUUUUGUACAGUAAUAUCGAGUUUCUUGUUUUUAUAUUUUCUAUUUUGUAUUUUAAAAAGAGUGCUAUAAAUCAAAAAUCCAAAAAAAAGAGAUUUUGCGUUUUAUAUUUCUGUUAGAAGUUUUAUUUAGAAUACUAAUUCUAGAAAUAAAAAAAAUUCUUUUGAGGUGGUUUUUCCUUUAGGCAGUUAAUAUCUAG
Molecule: long non-coding RNA, 3259 nt
Filed under: Nicotiana tabacum (common tobacco)
Lineage: Eukaryota; Viridiplantae; Streptophyta; Magnoliopsida; Solanales; Solanaceae
Description: long non-coding RNA (NTAB_LNC000544)
Source: RNAcentral